GGGAGGAUGGCCGAGCGGUUAAGGCGCUGUGUUUAGGUCAUCUAUUUUACCUGAAUCUAUCCCGCAGUGGGAAACCUCGUGGGUUCGAAUCCCACUCCUCUCA
Exophiala mesophila is the source of this 103-nucleotide transfer RNA. It matches the Rfam family "tRNA". From Rfam's summary of the family: Transfer RNA (tRNA) molecules are approximately 80 nucleotides in length. Lineage: Eukaryota; Fungi; Ascomycota; Eurotiomycetes; Chaetothyriales; Herpotrichiellaceae. The record is from Rfam.